CGGCACGGGUGAGUAACACGUAUCCAACCUGCCGUCUACUCUUGGCCUGCCUUCUGAAAGGAAGAUUAAUCCAGGAUGGCAUCAUGAGUUCACAUGUCCGCAUGAUUAAAGGUAUUUUCCGGUAGACGAUGGGGAUGCGUUCCAUUAGAUAGUAGGCGGGGUAACGGCCCACCUAGUCAACGAUGGACAGGGGUUCUGAGAGGAAGGUCCCCCACAUUGGAACUGAGACACGGUCCAA
RNAcentral lists this ribosomal RNA (238 nucleotides) under uncultured bacterium. RNAcentral's name for it is "partial 16S ribosomal RNA". It matches the Rfam family "Bacterial small subunit ribosomal RNA", at positions 100 to 334 of the family's 1533-position model. The record is from RNAcentral.